CAGCAGCCGCGGUAAUACGAAGGGGGCUAGCGUUGUUCGGAUUUACUGGGCGUAAAGCGCACGUAGGCGGAUCGAUCAGUUAGGGGUGAAAUCCCAGAGCUCAACUCUGGAACUGCCUUUGAUACUGUCGAUCUGGAGUAUGGAAGAGGUGAGUGGAAUUCCGAGUGUAGAGGUGAAAUUCGUAGAUAUUGGGAAGAACACCAGUGGCGAAGGCGGCUCACUGGACCGACACUGACGCUGAGGCGCGAAAGCGUGGGGAGCAAACAGGAUUAGAUACCCGUGUAGUCCCUGUCUCUUAUAC
RNAcentral lists this ribosomal RNA (301 nucleotides) under uncultured bacterium. RNAcentral describes it as "partial 16S ribosomal RNA". It matches the Rfam family "Bacterial small subunit ribosomal RNA", at positions 509 to 807 of the family's 1533-position model. The record is from RNAcentral.